GACGAACGCUGGCGGCGUGCUUAACACAUGCAAGUCGAACGGAAAGGCCCUGCUUUUGUGGGGUGCUCGAGUGGCGAACGGGUGAGUAACACGUGAGUAGCCUGCCCUUGACUUUGGGAUAACUUCAGGAAACUGGGGCUAAUACCGGAUAGGAGCUCCUGCUGCAUGGUGGGGGUUGGAAAGUUUCGGCGGUUGGGGAUGGACGCGCGGCUUAUCAGCUUGUUGGUGGGGUAGUGGCUUACCAAGGCUUUGCCGGGUAGCCGGCCUGAGAGGGUGACCGGCCCCAUUGGGCCUGCGAUACGGCCCAGCCUCCUCCGGGAGGCAGCAGGGGGGAAUUUUGCACAAUGGGCCGAAGCCUGAUCAAGCACCCCCGCGUGCGGGAUGACGGCCUUCGGGUGGUAACCCGUUUUCGCCUGUGACGAAGUGUGAGUGACGGUACUGGGUAAAGAAGCACCGGCUAACUACGUG
This 468-nucleotide ribosomal RNA is filed under the name uncultured bacterium. Its description in RNAcentral is "partial 16S ribosomal RNA". It matches the Rfam family "Bacterial small subunit ribosomal RNA", at positions 28 to 507 of the family's 1533-position model. The record is from RNAcentral.